This 404-nucleotide ribosomal RNA is filed under the name uncultured bacterium. RNAcentral describes it as "bacterial SSU rRNA". It matches the Rfam family "Bacterial small subunit ribosomal RNA", at positions 355 to 774 of the family's 1533-position model. The record is from RNAcentral.
UGGGGAAUAUUGCACAAUGGGCGAAAGCCUGAUGCAGCAACGCCGCGUGAGCGAUGAAGGCCUUUGGGUCGUAAAGCUCUGUCCUAGGGGAAGAAUAAAUGACGGUACCCUUGGAGGAAGCCCCGGCUAACUACGUGCCAGCAGCCGCGGUAAUACGUAGGUGGCAAGCGUUGUCCGGAUUUACUGGGCGUAAAGGAUGCGUAGGCGGAUUUUUAAGUGAGAUGUGAAAUACCCGGGCUUAACUUGGGUGCUGCAUUUCAAACUGGGAAUCUAGAGUGUGGGAGAGGAGAAUGGAAUUCCUAGUGUAGCGGUGAAAUGCGUAGAGAUUAGGAAGAACACCAGUGGCGAAGGCGAUUCUCUGGACCGUAACUGACGCUGAGGCAUGAAAGCGUGGGUAGCAAACA